CUUAAGCAUAUCAAUAAGCGGAGGAAAAGAAACCAACAGGGAUUGCCCCAGUAACGGCGAGUGAAGCGGCAACAGCUCAAAUUUGAAAUCUGGCGCAAGCCCGAGUUGUAAUUUGUAGAGGAUGCUUCUAGGUAGCGACCGGUCCAAGUUCUUUGGAACAGGACGUCAUAGAGGGUGAGAACCCCGUAUGUGACCGGCCCGCACCUUCCACGUAGCUCCUUCGACGAGUCGAGUUGUUUGGGAAUGCAGCUCUAAAUGGGAGGUAAAUUUCUUCUAAAGCUAAAUACCGGCCAGAGACCGAUAGCGCACAAGUAGAGUGAUCGAAAGAUGAAAAGCACUUUGGAAAGAGAGUUAAAAAGCACGUGAAAUUGUUGAAAGGGAAGCGCUUACGACCAGACUUCUGGGCGGUGUUCCGCCGGUCUUUUGACCGGUCCACUCGCCGUCCCGAGGCCAACAUCAUCUAGGACCGCCGGAAAAGACCUCGGGAAUGUAGCUCCCCUCGGGGAGUGUUAUAGCCCGUGGUGAUGCGGCGCGUCUUGGGUGAGGUCCGCGCUUCGGCAAGGAUGUUGGCGUAAUGGUCGUCAGCGGCCCGUCUUGAAACACGGACCAAGGAGUCUAACAUCUAUGCGAGUGUUUGGGUGUCAAACCCCUACGCGUAAUGAAAGUGAACGGAGGUGGGAAGGGCGACCUGCACCAUCGACCGAUCCUGAUGUCCUCGGAUGGAUUUGAGUAAGAGCAUAACUGUUGGGACCCGAAAGAUGGUGAACUAUGCCUGAAUAGGGUGAAGCCAGAGGAAACUCUGGUGGAGGCUCGCAGCGGUUCUGACGUGCAAAUCGAUCGUCAAAUUUGGGUAUAGGGGCGAAAGACUAAUCGAACCAU
RNAcentral lists this ribosomal RNA (879 nucleotides) under Ramularia sp. E JZG-2016. Its description in RNAcentral is "eukaryotic LSU rRNA". It matches the Rfam family "Eukaryotic large subunit ribosomal RNA", at positions 33 to 943 of the family's 3401-position model. The record is from RNAcentral. Lineage: Eukaryota; Fungi; Ascomycota; Dothideomycetes; Mycosphaerellales; Mycosphaerellaceae.